UGUGUUCUGGUGUUGGACUUGAGGG
Molecule: non-coding RNA, 25 nt
Filed under: Cricetulus griseus (Chinese hamster)
Lineage: Eukaryota; Metazoa; Chordata; Mammalia; Rodentia; Cricetidae
Source: RNAcentral